GGAGUUAAAUAAAAGUAGCUUCUAACUACUUUAAAGCAAUUUAAUUUGUUAAACCCCCCC
Molecule: transfer RNA, 60 nt
Filed under: Paurocephala sauteri
Lineage: Eukaryota; Metazoa; Arthropoda; Insecta; Hemiptera; Liviidae
Description: tRNA-Ser
Source: RNAcentral